UUACGGCUAAAGAUAUGUUGAAAAACCGCUUCACGUACGAUCACCAAAGUUAAACAAUGCCGAGCCUGGUCAGUAGCUAGAUGGAUGACCCCUUGGGAAUAGCUGGUGCUC
Acanthosepion pharaonis is the source of this 111-nucleotide non-coding RNA. Lineage: Eukaryota; Metazoa; Mollusca; Cephalopoda; Sepiida; Sepiidae. The record is from the annotation of a GenBank genome assembly.